AUCCCGAUGUACAGGAAGGAGGCAUCUUCUUUCUGUGAAACAUCCUUUAGGGGAUGGGGCGCGGAUGGACCCGCGGUGCAUUAGUUGGUUGGCGGGGUAAAGGCCCACCAAGACGAUGAUGCAUAGCCGGCCUGAGAGGGCGGACGGCCACAUUGGGACUGAGACACGGCCCAGACUCCUGCGGGAGGCAGCAGUAGGGAAUUUUCGUCAAUGGGCGCAAGCCUGAACGAGCGAUGCCGCGUGAGUGAAGAAGGCCUUCGGGUCGUAAAGCUCUGUUGCGGGGGAAAAAAGGCAGCAUCAGGAAAUGGGUGCUGACUGAUGGUGCCCCGCCAGAAAGUCACGGCUAACUACGUGCCAGCAGCCGCGGUAAUACGUAGGUGGCGAGCGUUAUCCGGAAUGAUUGGGCGUAAAGGGUGCGCAGGCGGUCCUGCAAGUCUGGAGUGAAACGCAUGAGCUCAACUCAUGCAUGGCUUUGGAAACUGGAGGACUGGAGAGCAGGAGAGGGCGGUGGAACUCCAUGUGUAGCGGUAAAAUGCGUAGAUAUAUGGAAGAACACCAGUGGCGAAGGCGGCCGCCUGGCCUGUUGCUGACGCUGAGGCACGAAAGCGUGGGGAGCAAAUGGAAUUAGAUACCCUAGUAGUCCACGCCGUAAAC
RNAcentral lists this ribosomal RNA (654 nucleotides) under uncultured bacterium. Its description in RNAcentral is "bacterial SSU rRNA". It matches the Rfam family "Bacterial small subunit ribosomal RNA", at positions 167 to 807 of the family's 1533-position model. The record is from RNAcentral.